RNAcentral lists this ribosomal RNA (1557 nucleotides) under Triticum aestivum (bread wheat). Its description in RNAcentral is "partial small subunit ribosomal RNA". Lineage: Eukaryota; Viridiplantae; Streptophyta; Magnoliopsida; Poales; Poaceae. The record is from RNAcentral.
AUGGAGACCGUGUCCUCGGAGACGGCGGAGGACUGGCGCCGCGCGCUCUCCUGCGUGGUGCCCGCCGUCGUCGUCCUCCACGCCACGGCGCCGCGCGCCUUCGACACCGGGGUCGCGGGAAGCAGCCAUGCCACGGGCUUCGUCGUCGACAAGUCCCGCGGCAUCAUCCUCACCAACCGCCACGUCGUCGGGCCUGGGCCUGUGGUCGCGGAGGCAAUCUUUGUGAACAGGGAGGAGAUACCCGUGUACGCCAUCUACAGAGAUCCUAAGCUGGUUCUUCUGCAAGAGCUCGUCCGGCUCUGCAAGCGCCCGUCUUUUUACCUUUCUUCUCCACGGUGGCUGCUCCUCCGACGUGGACCUGCGGAGCAGCGGUCCACGCUGGAGCGUUGGCCAUGCCCUGAUCCAGCUGCCAUAAAGUACCUCAAGUACGAGGAGAUCCCUGUAACACCUGAAGCAGCAUCUAUGGGGCUGGAAAUUCGGGUUGUCGGUAAUGACAGCGGCGAAAAGGUUUCAAUCUUGCCGGGAACAUUGGCUCGACUUGACAGAGAAGCACCGAACUACACAAAGGAUGGUUACAACGAUUUCAAUACAUUCUACAUACAGGCUGCAUCUGGUACUAAAGGUGGCUCUAGUGGUUCCCCUGUUGUUGAUUGCCAAGGAAGAGUUGUUGCACUGAAUGCAGGAGGCACUACUUCCAGUGCUCCGGCCUUCUACCUUUCAUUAGACCGUAGAUCGUUACUUCGUGUCUUCAUUAGAGAUUACGAGGAUAUCAUUGAAGAUUUCAUUAGAGAUUACGAGGAUAUCACUGAAGUUUUUCAAAUAAAUAGCAACUGGGAAUUGAAUAGCAGCAAGCCAGAAUCUGCUUAUAUUCCUCGUGGUACACUUCAGGUGUGCAUUCUGUCUGAUGAUCCUUUUGUUCUGUUAGAUGCUACCGUUUUAGUUUUCUAUUUUGGAGAGCUAAUUACUGAAGGACAGGCGGUACGACUUGUUUCUCCAGCAGGGGAGACUGGAAUGCUGGUUGUUGAUUCUUUGGUGCCAGAUGGACCUGCAGACAAACAUCUGGAACCUGGUGACGUGCUGAUUCGCAUGAACGGGGAGAUUGUAACACAAUUUCUCACUAUGGAGUCAUUAAUUGAUGAGAGCGUUGGCAGGGAGAUAAAUUUGCAGAUCGAAAGAGGUGGAACCCCUUUAACAGUAAAGCUGAAGGUAGGGGAUUUGCACUCCAUAACUCCAAAUCAUUUCCUGGAAGUUAGUGGUGCUGUCAUCCAUCCACUUUCAUACCAGCAGGCUAGACACUUCGGGUUCAAAUGUGGUCUUGUAUAUGUUGCUGAACCUGGGUCAAACCCUAUUGGGGAUGUGAUUUCCCUGCUCCAGAUUGAAGUGGUUGGCGUUGGGGGCCGCCGUGAUGCUGGAUGGUGCAGGUCAGAGCUCCAGUGCGUGUCCGUGGAGCAGAUCCACCAUGGGUGCAGGGGAAUGGAAAUGCUACUGAGAAGAAGAAGAGAGCUUGGUCUGGCUAUUUGGAAGCAGAGUGAAGAGUGUGCUACGGUGAAACCUUAG